AGUGCAUGUGGUGGAUGCCUUGGCAGUCAGAGGCGAUGAAAGACGUGAUAGCCUGCGAAAAGCUCCGGGGAGGCGGCAAAUAUCCUUUGAUCCGGAGAUGUCUGAAUGGGGGAACCCACCUACUUUAAGGUAGGUAUUGCAACAUGAAUACAUAGUGUUGCAAGGCGAACGAGGGGAAGUGAAACAUCUCAGUACCCUUAGGAAAAGAAAUCAAUUGAGAUUCCCUCAGUAGCGGCGAGCGAACGGGGAUCAGCCCAUUAAGUUAUGUGUGUUUUAGUGGAACGCUCUGGGAAGUGCGAACGUAGAGGGUGAUAUUCCCGUACACGAAAGGGCACACAUAAUGAUGACGAGUAGGGCGAGGCACGUGAAACCUUGUCUGAAUAUGGGGGGACCAUCCUCCAAGGCUAAAUACUCCUGACUGACCGAUAGUGAACCAGUACCGUGAGGGAAAGGCGAAAAGAACCCCUGUGAGGGGAGUGAAAUAGAUCCUGAAACCGCAUGCAUACAAGCAGUGGGAGCACCUUCGUGGUGUGACUGCGUACCUUUUGUAUAAUGGGUCAGCGACUUAUAUUCAGUAGCGAGGUUAACCGUAUAGGGGAGCCGUAGAGAAAUCGAGUCUUAAUAGGGCGUUUAGUUGCUGGGUAUAGACCCGAAACCAGGCGAUCUAUCCAUGAGCAGGUUGAAGGUUGGGUAACACUAACUGGAGGACCGAACCCACUGUCGUUGAAAAGCCAGGGGAUGACUUGUGGAUAGGGGUGAAAGGCUAAUCAAGCCUGGUGAUAGCUGGUUCUCCCCGAAAGCUAUUUAGGUAGCGCCUCGGACGAAUACCAUAGGGGGUAGAGCACUGUUUCGGCUAGGGGGUCAUCCCGACUUACCAAACCGAUGCAAACUCCGAAUACCUAUGAGUACUAGUCCGGGAGACAGACUGGCGGGUGAUAACGUCCGUAGUCAAGAGGAAAACAAUCCAGACCGCCAGCUAAGGCCCCAAAAUCAUAGUUAAGUGGGAAACGAUGUGGGAAGGCAUAGACAGCUAGGAGGUUGGCUUAGAAGCAGCCACCCUUUAAAGAAAGCGUAAUAGCUCACUAGUCGAGUCGGCCUGCGCGGAAGAUGUAACGGGGCUAAAACUAUGUGCCGAAGCUGCGGAUGUAUACUUUGUAUACGUGGUAGGGGAGCGUUCUGUAAGCCGAUGAAGGUGUGUUGAGAAGCAUGCUGGAGGUAUCAGAAGUGCGAAUGCUGACGUGAGUAACGACAAAACGGGUGAAAAACCCGUUCGCCGAAAGACCAAGGGUUCCAGUCCAACGUUAAUCGGGGCUGGGUGAGUCGACCCCUAAGGCGAGGCCGAAAGGCGUAGUCGAUGGGAAAAUGGUUAAUAUUCCAUUACUUCUGUGUAAUGCGAUGAGAGGACGGAGAAGGCUAAAUCAGCCUGGCGUUGGUUGUCCAGGUGAAAGGAUGUAGGCAUGUAUCUUAGGCAAAUCCGGGGUACUCUAUGCUGAGAUCUGAUAGCAAGCUGUACUUGUACAGCGAAGUGGUUGAUGCCAUGCUUCCAGGAAAAGUCUCUAAGCUUCAGUUACACAGGAAUCGUACCCGAAACCGACACAGGUGGUCAGGUCGAGUAGACCAAGGCGCUUGAGAGAACUCUGCUGAAGGAACUAGGCAAAAUGGUACCGUAACUUCGGGAGAAGGUACGCUGUUGUUGGUGAUGGAACUCGCUUCCUGAGCUGACGACAGCCGCAGAAACCAGGCCGCUGCAACUGUUUAUUAAAAACAUAGCACUCUGCAAACACGAAAGUGGACGUAUAGGGUGUGAUGCCUGCCCGGUGCUGGAAGGUUAAUUGAUGGGGUUAGCGUAAGCGAAGCUCUUGAUCGAAGCCCCAGUAAACGGCGGCCGUAACUAUAACGGUCCUAAGGUAGCGAAAUUCCUUGUCGGGUAAGUUCCGACCUGCACGAAUGGCAUAAUGAUGGCGGCGCUGUCUCCAGCAGAGGCUCAGUGAAAUCGAAAUCGCUGUGAAGAUGCAGUGUACCCGCGGCUAGACGGAAAGACCCCGUGAACCUUUACUGCAGCUUGACACUGAACUUUGACCUUACUUGUGUAGGAUAGGUGGGAGGCUUUGAAGCUGGAACGCUAGUUCCAGUGGAGCCGUCCUUGAAAUACCACCCUGGUAAUGUUGAGGUUCUAACUCUGUCCCGUGAUCCGGGACGAGGACCGUGUCUGGUGGGUAGUUUGACUGGGGCGGUCUCCUCCUAAAGAGUAACGGAGGAGUACGAAGGUGCGCUCAGCGUGGUCGGAAAUCACGCGUAGAGUAUAAAGGCAAAAGCGCGCUUAACUGCGAGACCCACAAGUCGAGCAGGUACGAAAGUAGGUCUUAGUGAUCCGGUGGUUCUGUAUGGAAGGGCCAUCGCUCAACGGAUAAAAGGUACUCUGGGGAUAACAGGCUGAUACCGCCCAAGAGUUCAUAUCGACGGCGGUGUUUGGCACCUCGAUGUCGGCUCAUCUCAUCCUGGGGCUGAAGCAGGUCCCAAGGGUAUGGCUGUUCGCCAUUUAAAGAGGUACGCGAGCUGGGUUUAGAACGUCGUGAGACAGUUCGGUCCCUAUCUACCGUGGGCGCUGGAAAUUUGAGAGGAUCUGCUCCUAGUACGAGAGGACCAGAGUGGACGAACCUCUGGUGUACCGGUUGUGACGCCAGUCGCAUCGCCGGGUAGCUAUGUUCGGAAGGGAUAACCGCUGAAAGCAUCUAAGCGGGAAGCCUACCUCAAGAUAAGAUUUCCCUAGGACUUUAUGUCCUCUAAAGAGCCGUUCGAGACUAGGACGUUGAUAGGUUGGAUGUGGAAGCAUAGUGAUAUGUGAAGCUGACCAAUACUAAUUGCUCGUGAGGCUUGACU
Molecule: ribosomal RNA, 2880 nt
Filed under: Acinetobacter baumannii AB5256
Lineage: Bacteria; Pseudomonadati; Pseudomonadota; Gammaproteobacteria; Moraxellales; Moraxellaceae
Description: bacterial LSU rRNA
Rfam family: Bacterial large subunit ribosomal RNA
Source: RNAcentral